RNAcentral lists this ribosomal RNA (216 nucleotides) under uncultured bacterium. RNAcentral describes it as "partial 16S ribosomal RNA". It matches the Rfam family "Bacterial small subunit ribosomal RNA", at positions 561 to 776 of the family's 1533-position model. The record is from RNAcentral.
UUUAAAGGUGCGUAGGUGGUUAAUUAAGUCAGCGGUGAAAGUUUGUGGCUCAACCAUAAAAUUGCCGUUGAAACUGGUUGACUUGAGUAUAUUUGAGGUAGGCGGAAUGCGUGGUGUAGCGGUGAAAUGCAUAGAUAUCACGCAGAACUCCGAUUGCGAAGGCAGCUUACUAAACUAUAACUGACACUGAAGCACGAAAGCGUGGGAUCAAACAGG